RNAcentral lists this ribosomal RNA (477 nucleotides) under uncultured Thiobacillus sp. RNAcentral describes it as "bacterial SSU rRNA". It matches the Rfam family "Bacterial small subunit ribosomal RNA", at positions 901 to 1382 of the family's 1533-position model. The record is from RNAcentral. Lineage: Bacteria; Pseudomonadati; Pseudomonadota; Betaproteobacteria; Nitrosomonadales; Thiobacillaceae.
UUAAAGGAAUUGACGGGGACCCGCACAAGCGGUGGAUGAUGUGGAUUAAUUCGAUGCAACGCGAAGAACCUUACCUACCCUUGACAUGUCCGGAACUUGCCAGAGAUGGCUUGGUGCCCGAAAGGGAAUCGGAACACAGGUGCUGCAUGGCUGUCGUCAGCUCGUGUCGUGAGAUGUUGGGUUAAGUCCCGCAACGAGCGCAACCCUUAUCAUUAGUUGCUACGCAAGGGCACUCUAAUGAGACUGCCGGUGACAAACCGGAGGAAGGUGGGGAUGACGUCAAGUCCUCAUGGCCCUUAUGGGUAGGGCUUCACACGUCAUACAAUGGUCGGUACAGAGGGUUGCCAAGCCGCGAGGCGGAGCCAAUCCCACAAAGCCGAUCGUAGUCCGGAUCGUAGUCUGCAACUCGACUACGUGAAGUCGGAAUCGCUAGUAAUCGUGGAUCGGAAUGUCACGGUGAAUACGUUCCCGGGUCUU